CCUUGACCUUAAAAAUAGUAUGUCAGACAGAACCGUUUGCCACCAGGGGCGUCGCACCCGUGGGGGAUGUGGGUGUUUUGACACCCACACUUUUCCCGGUGAGAGGGUUCAACACCCACACUUUUUAUGCAGUUUUGCAAGAACACCUUAUUAAAGUCGCUCCUCCGUUUCUCUGGCCGCUCUCUGUCUGCUGCGCUGCAUUCUCUCCCCCUCCCCUCUCAAACAUGACGCAGGCUUUAAGUGUUACCGGCUGAUGAUUGGCUGUUCUGCCUUAAGUCCCGCCUCUCUUGGUGUGUAGAUUGAUCGGUCAGCUCGCGCUGAGAAGGCGGGAACUUAUGUUUAUUUACAUCUCCCUUUUUCAGCAUAAAUAAGAUACAGAAAAGAAGGAGGCAGGAGAAGAUUGAUACAGUUUUCAAGAGAAAUCCUGAGAUGAGGUUGCUGGAGGCAUCAGUUUAAAGAGAGAGAGAGGCACAGAAAUUUUCACAGGUGAGCAAUGAAAAAUGAAUGUUUCAGUUUGUGAAAGAGGUAUAUGAAGGAAGAGAGGGUGUGUUUGUGUCAUGGGUGGUCCUUAAUUCCAUCCCAGGUGCACAUACGCGUGUUUCUGGUGUUUUUAUAUCAAAUUUAAAAUGUUAUCCAUCCCCCACACUUUUAAAAAGCUUGCUACGCCCCUGUUUGCCACUGUACGUUAGUAUUAACGACGGCAGUGGGGCCUCUGGCCUUAGUCAAACGAGUUCUGUUUCUGUUUUAAAGCCCAUGUGGGGGGCCCCAUACAUUCUAAAACCAUCAACUAUAUGUAAUACACUUAACCAGCAAUAGUUAGCCUGUCCGGAACCGAGCUGACUAAAACCACAUUACUGUGUGACACUUGCUUUUUAUGUGAAUGGCCCCUACGCUAAUAAGAUUUUUUUCUCUCUCCCUGUCUCGUCCUCGAUCACGAGGACAAUGAGACAAACAGAUCCAGUUCCGGUAAAUGUGAAAGUCGGCACAUUUCUGAUCUACUGGCUGUUCUUCAACGUGAUGUCCAGCUGAUGCCUGUCCAAAGACCACCGGCAGAACCCGCUUGAUCUCAGCUUAAUCUCUUU
Misgurnus anguillicaudatus (oriental weatherfish) is the source of this 1082-nucleotide long non-coding RNA. RefSeq lists it as uncharacterized. NCBI's taxonomy places the organism in Eukaryota, Metazoa, Chordata, Actinopteri, Cypriniformes, Cobitidae. The record is from RefSeq and is a predicted model, not a curated record.